RNAcentral lists this ribosomal RNA (492 nucleotides) under uncultured bacterium. Its description in RNAcentral is "partial 16S ribosomal RNA". It matches the Rfam family "Bacterial small subunit ribosomal RNA", at positions 29 to 507 of the family's 1533-position model. The record is from RNAcentral.
AGUGAACGCUGGCGGUAGGCCUAACACAUGCAAGUCGAACGGCAGCACAGUAAGAGCUUGCUCUUACGGGUGGCGAGUGGCGGACGGGUGAGGAAUACAUCGGAAUCUACUUUUUCGUGGGGGAUAACGUAGGGAAACUUACGCUAAUACCGCAUACGACCUACGGGUGAAAGCAGUGGAUCUUCGGACCUUUCGCGAUUGAAUGAGCCGAUGUCGGAUUAGCUAGUUGGCGGGGUAAAGGCCCACCAAGGCGACGAUCCGUAGCUGGUCUGAGAGGAUGAUCAGCCACACUGGAACUGAGACACGGUCCAGACUCCUACGGGAGGCAGCAGUGGGGAAUAUUGGACAAUGGGCGCAAGCCUGAUCCAGCCAUACCGCGUGGGUGAAGAAGGCCUUCGGGUUGUAAAGCCCUUUUGUUGGGAAAGAAAAGCAGCAGGUUAAUACCCCGCUGUUCUGACGGUACCCAAGGAAUAAGCACCGGCUAACUUCGUG